AGAAACACUGCCUCAGCAUUUAUACGUAUGUGCAUUUCAAACGAGGGUGCGUACAAUGCUGGAUUUGUUUCACGGCUCCUCCGUCAUUCACUCACUGAAUUAAGUACAUGCUUGAUAUUUAUAAUGUUUUAAAAUGUUAAUUGGUCUGUUUAAAAUGUAGUAACCCAUGAGUGAGGCAAGUUAGUAGCUAGCUAUGCUAACGGCUACAGCCAGUCGACCCAGCCUUUGUCCCCUUCAAAUGAGCUUAUGUGGGCUCCUGCAGCCACACGACUGUGAUUAUCGGCAUCGAGCAGCGACAGGCAGGGAGCGGUCGGUGUAGCUUUUGGCCUUUUUCUGUAAUCUCAUACACCUGGGGGGAACAGCUGAUAGCUCUCAGCCUUCGAGCGGCGGCAGGGAGGGAGUUCUGGAUCUAGCUCAAUGUAGUAAGUUUGUGCUUGAUACUUGUGAUGUCUUAAUAUGUUAGUUGGUCUUUUUAAACUGUAGUAACCCACAUGUGAGACAAGCUAAUCGCUAGCGUUGCUAACGGCUACAGUGAGUCAACCGAGCCUCUGUCCCUUUUUAAAUGUGCUACUGAGUUGGCGCAAUCACACAUUUUGCACUUUAGAGCUACAGCUGGUCGAUCGCUAUAAUAAUGUUAGUUUCAUGUGUUAUAUUAUGUUAGUUAGUGAAUGCAAUAAUGUUAGUUCUCCUUUAAAGGAGACUGAUCAUACUUUUCAUUCUAAAGAAUAUUGGACUUCAAUGUCUCUGUAAGGUCUCUGUAAAUUUUCAUUCCAUAAAACCCUUUAGAUCGUCCACACUGCAAUGUGUGUUUUUCACUCCCCAUCAGUAAAAACUCUGGUUUGUGGGUGUGUCGCAAGCGAAGCUGCUCGCCACACCCCGUGCGGAAGCACACACCUUUUAUAUUUUUGUUGUUUUUUUUAAUUGGCUUCAUGGAUAAGAGCCACCGCACGGUUAGGAUACAAUAGGUGGCAGUAGUGCAACAUUGAGAAUGCAAUCCACCGCAGUCCUCCACAGAAGAAGACCCACUACAGGACUGCACAACAAUGGCCAGCUGGUUCGUAGCGUAGUAGAACCAUGCAUCUACGAUCCCGAAUCUGACCCUGAAGCUGAUGAGGAGGCUCUUGAAGUCACCACAUUUUGGCUGAUGCAAGAUGUGUCUCAGUGUUGUUACAGGUAUCUAGUCUACAGAGGCUUAUGAGCUGAUGCUGGGGAUUCCUGGGGUGAAGAAUCUGAGUUGCCAUCUCUUCAUGCUUGGUUUGUAGAUCAAGGCAGAGUUUCUUGAUGCAUAAAACACUAAAACACUCAUUGUAUGAUGGAUGUAGACCACCCGUGGAAUAACUCAUUUACCAUUUGAGUAGAAAUGUGUUUUUUGUGUGUGCAAUACCCAUUAAGAAUUUUUUUUAUUUGAAUUUAUAUUUACAGAUGCUUUUUUAUGGCUGGUUCACCUUUAUAUCUUACCAUAUUAGAAAGAAAAAAACAUGUAAUUUCAAUACUUUGAUUUCCUAAAUAAAAGUGUUUUCCCCUCAGAAAAACA
RNAcentral lists this long non-coding RNA (1534 nucleotides) under Betta splendens (Siamese fighting fish). RNAcentral's name for it is "lncRNA (ENSBSLG00000000499.1)". The record is from RNAcentral. Lineage: Eukaryota; Metazoa; Chordata; Actinopteri; Anabantiformes; Osphronemidae.